RNAcentral lists this ribosomal RNA (459 nucleotides) under Triticum aestivum (bread wheat). RNAcentral's name for it is "partial small subunit ribosomal RNA". Lineage: Eukaryota; Viridiplantae; Streptophyta; Magnoliopsida; Poales; Poaceae. The record is from RNAcentral.
AUGAUGCUUUCUGUUUUGUUGAGCCCUGCUUUGGUCUCUGGUUUGAUGGUUGUACAUGCUAAAAAUCCGGUACAUUCCGUUUUGUUUCCCAUCCUAGUCUUUUGCGACACUUCUGGUUUACUUAUUUUGUUAGGUCUCGACUUCUCCGCUAUGAUCUCCUUAGUAGUUCAUAUAGGAGCUAUUGUCGUUUCAUUCCUAUUCGUGGUUAUGAUGUUCAAUAUUCAAAUAGCGGAGAUUCACGAAGAAGUAUUGCGCUAUUUACCAGUGAGUGGUAUUAUUGGACUGAUCUUUUGGUGGGAAAUGUUCUUCAUUUUAGAUAAUGAAACCAUUCCAUUACUACCAACCCACAGAAAUAUGACCUCUCUGAGAUAUACGGUUUAUGCCAGAAAGGUCGGGAUGUUAUCAAAGCCAGGGCUUCUCGCCUUUCCUUUUGAUGGCUCAUAUGAACCUUACGUGGGC